Molecule: transfer RNA, 65 nt
Filed under: Cionus olens
Lineage: Eukaryota; Metazoa; Arthropoda; Insecta; Coleoptera; Curculionidae
Description: tRNA-Phe
Source: RNAcentral
AUCUAAAUAGCUUAUAAUUAGAGCAUAGUAUUGAAGAUACUAAGGAAAUAUUUUAUUUUUAGAUA